RNAcentral lists this ribosomal RNA (408 nucleotides) under uncultured bacterium. RNAcentral describes it as "partial 16S ribosomal RNA". It matches the Rfam family "Bacterial small subunit ribosomal RNA", at positions 28 to 526 of the family's 1533-position model. The record is from RNAcentral.
GACGAACGCUGGCGGCGUGCUUAACACAUGCAAGUCGAACGAAGUGGCGAACGGGGGAGUAAUACGUGGGUAACCUGCCCUCCUUUUUGGGAUAAGCCUUGGAAACGGGGUCUAAUACCGAAUAAAGGGGGAUGGGAUCGGGGCCUAUCAGGUUGUUGGGGGGGCGAUGGCCUACCAAGGCGGUGCCGGGUAGGCGGCCUGGGAGGGUGACCGGGCACAGUGGGACGGAGCAACGUCCUAGACGCCUCCGGGGGGCAGAAGUGGGGACGAUUGCACAAUGGGCGAAAGCCUCAUGCAGCGAGGCGGCGUGGGGGAUGAGGGCUUUCGAGUUGUAACCCUCUUUCGGUAGCGAACCGGUAGGUGGAGAAGAAGCGCCGGCUAACUACGUGCCAGCAGCCGCGGUAAUAC